Molecule: ribosomal RNA, 427 nt
Filed under: uncultured bacterium
Lineage: Bacteria
Description: partial 16S ribosomal RNA
Rfam family: Bacterial small subunit ribosomal RNA
Source: RNAcentral
UGGGGAACAUUGCACAAUGGGCGCAAGCCUGAUGCAGCCAUGCCGCGUGUAUGAAGAAGGCCUUCGGGUUGUAAAGUACUUUCAGCGAGGAGGAAGGCGUUGUGGUUAAUAACCGCAGCGAUUGACGUUACUCGCAGAAGAAGCACCGGCUAACUCCGUGCCAGCAGCCGCGGUAAUACGGAGGGUGCAAGCGUUAAUCGGAAUUACUGGGCGUAAAGCGCACGCAGGCGGUUUGUCAAGUCGGAUGUGAAAUCCCCGGGCUCAACCUGGGAACUGCAUCCGAAACUGGCAGGCUAGAGUCUUGUAGAGGGGGGUAGAAUUCCAGGUGUAGCGGUGAAAUGCGUAGAGAUCUGGAGGAAUACCGGUGGCGAAGGCGGCCCCCUGGACAAAGACUGACGCUCAGGUGCGAAAGCGUGGGGAGCAAACA